Molecule: ribosomal RNA, 253 nt
Filed under: uncultured bacterium
Lineage: Bacteria
Description: partial 16S ribosomal RNA
Rfam family: Bacterial small subunit ribosomal RNA
Source: RNAcentral
UACGGGGGGGGCAAGCGUUGUUCGGAAUUACUGGGCGUAAAGGGCUCGUAGGCGGCCAACUAAGUCGGAUGUGAAAUCCCCAGGCUUAACCUGGGAACUGCAUCCGAUACUGGAUGGCUUGAAUCCGGAAGAGGGAUGCAGAAUUCCAGGUGUAGCGGUGAAAUGCGUAGAUAUCUGGAGGAAUACCGGUGGCGAAGGCGGCAUCCUGGACCGGCAUUGACGCUGAUGAGCGAAAGCUAGGGGAGCAAACGGG